UACGAACGCUGGCGGCAGGCCUAACACAUGCAAGUCGAACGCCCCGCAAGGGGAGUGGCAGACGGGUGAGUAACGCGUGGGAACGUGCCCCAAGGUAGGGAACAACAGCGGGAAACUGCUGCUAAUACCCUAUGUGACCGAGAGGUGAAAGAUUUAUCGCCUUGGGAUCGGCCCGCGUUGGAUUAGCUAGUUGGUGGGGUAAAAGCCUACCAAGGCGACGAUCCAUAGCUGUUCUGAGAGGAAGAUCAGCCACACUGGGACUGAGACACGGCCCAGACUCCUACGGGAGGCAGCAGUGGGGAAUCUUGGACAAUGGGCGCAAGCCUGAUCCAGCCAUGCCGCGUGAGUGAUGAAGGCCUUAGGGUUGUAAAACUCUUUCGCCGAGGACGAUAAUGACGGUACUCGGAGAAGAAGCUCCGGCUAACUUCGUGCCAGCAGCCGCCGUAA
Molecule: ribosomal RNA, 447 nt
Filed under: uncultured bacterium
Lineage: Bacteria
Description: partial 16S ribosomal RNA
Rfam family: Bacterial small subunit ribosomal RNA
Source: RNAcentral